UCCGAAAUAGCUCAGUUGGGAGAGCGUUAGACUGAAGAUCUAAAGGUCUCGGGUUCGAUCCCCUGCUUCGGCA
RNAcentral lists this transfer RNA (73 nucleotides) under Araneus ventricosus. It matches the Rfam family "tRNA". Rfam says of the family: Transfer RNA (tRNA) molecules are approximately 80 nucleotides in length. Their secondary structure includes four short double-helical elements and three loops (D, anti-codon, and T loops). Lineage: Eukaryota; Metazoa; Arthropoda; Arachnida; Araneae; Araneidae. The record is from Rfam by way of RNAcentral.